UGAUCACAGAAUAGUUCCGGGGAU
Molecule: non-coding RNA, 24 nt
Filed under: Mus musculus (house mouse)
Lineage: Eukaryota; Metazoa; Chordata; Mammalia; Rodentia; Muridae
Source: RNAcentral